AUGCUCCUACUUUCCGUAUGGAGUAGGGAGCGCUUGCUGGUCGGAUGCUCGAAGUGCAUAACACACAAACCUUGGGACGACAAAGGUGACAAACUACGGCUCCCCACUUGGGCUUACAAGUGGGAUAUGGUAUCCGAGAUGAUGAGUGAUGUCACUCUCAUGUACAAGCAGUACAUCAACGAGUUGGACACUCUUACGUCUGAGCAGGUACACAUCGACAUUACAUCGCUCAUUGUCAUCCUUUCAUGA
RNAcentral lists this ribosomal RNA (249 nucleotides) under Triticum aestivum (bread wheat). Its description in RNAcentral is "partial small subunit ribosomal RNA". The record is from RNAcentral. Lineage: Eukaryota; Viridiplantae; Streptophyta; Magnoliopsida; Poales; Poaceae.